Long non-coding RNA from Helianthus annuus (common sunflower), 1652 nucleotides. RefSeq lists it as uncharacterized. The record is from RefSeq and is a predicted model, not a curated record. NCBI's taxonomy places the organism in Eukaryota, Viridiplantae, Streptophyta, Magnoliopsida, Asterales, Asteraceae. The transcript has 3 exons.
CCUCCUAAAAAAAAGCCUUAAUCCAAUUUCAAAUUUUAAACUCACGUUUUUUCUCUUCCUUAGUUCUCUCUCCAGUUUAAAAAUUCAUCACUUUCUUUCUAUUCCUUGAUCUGCAGGACUAAUCUUAAGGUGGUGAUGAUGAGCAUUUUUAAAGUUAAUUGUUGUUUCUUUCUUUUCCCAUCGACGCUCAAAGGAGGGUGAUGAAAGGCUGCUUCUUUUCUUAAUUCUCGAUCAAAUUCAGAUUUGGAAUGUCAUCCUCUGAAAUAUUUUUCCUCAUGUUCUGCAAACAUGGGUAUCAUUUUGCCGUGAAGGAGCUUUCUUUGCUUAAUUCAGGUAGCCACGAGAAGCAGAAGAUUAUUCAACUUCAACAGGUGAUGUUUAAAUUUCGAUCAAUUCUUCUUGUAUAUGUUAUCGGUUCAAUAUCAAUCAAAUCCUAAGUUUUAUACACUUAGCUUUUCUUUUUAUCUUGUAUUAUUUUCAGUACAUAUCUUUAUUAAUCGGUUCAAUCAUAAGAACAUAGUUCGGUAUCUUGCAGCAGGCGUGGUAUGUAAUUCUUCUUUCAUGGUCUAUCUGACACAAAUUCUAACACCUUGAUCUUGAUGAUAAACACCAGGUCCAUGUUGAGAUCGAGUCAUUUUUCGAUGGCCUGGAUUUCUCGGAGCCAUUGACCCGAGCACAUUUCGAAGAGCUGAACGAUGACUUGUUUAGAAAGACAGUGGGACCUGUGAAAAAGGCCAUGGAAGAUGUAGGUCUGGAGAAACGCCAGAUCGACGAGAUUGUUCUUGUUGGAGGAAUACCAGAAUUCCAAAAGUUCAACAACUCCUUAGGGAUUACUUUAAAGGAAAGGAACCAAACAUGGAUGUGAACCCUGUUGUUUAAGGAGGCAUUCUGAGUGGAGAGGGUUGUGACGAAUUUAAAGGUAGUUCAUUUUCUCUUAUCAUACAUGUCCUGUUUUAAGAGGCCUACAACGGGUCGGGUUGGGCUAGGUGAUUAAUCUUUUAAAGGCAAUGUUGCAGUCUGUUGUUAACUAUUUCGGCAUUAUUUUGAUAAUUUAUAGGGGCAUUAUGUGGUAAUUCUCACUCUUUAUUAGGGAGUUUGAGAUUGUAAUCAAUCACUUGAUGAAGUUCCAUUAAUCGUAAUAUGUUAUAAUUGUGGUCACACAACUUUAGCAACAUCCCACUUUCUUUUUAAGUAUGGCUUAGUGAACUCUUAACACAAUUGUAUUCUCAACCCUUUCUGUUAAAGAAGUUGGGAAAUAUGAUUUUGUUAUAUAUCUGGUAUUCUUCUCCCCUCUCAAAUAUUCUGCUAAAGAAUUGCAGUUUCUUUGCAAGCACUUAAAUUGGCGAACAACUUUUUAAUUUAAACAUUAAUCACAGUAUGUUAAUCCCAAAGGUAGCAUUCAGGAAUUUCAUUCUAAAUGGCAUUAAUCAACUAUUCAACUGUUUACAUAGCGUGUAUUUCAUAUUGUAUCUUACUAACAUUGCCUUUACAAAAAUUUGAGUAUAUGCUGGUUGCAGGUUGAUCUAAAGACAUUUAUGCUUGAAGUCUGUAUGGAUCCUUAGGGUCAUAGACUUAGGCUAAAUGUAAUUUCUACUUAAAUUAAUUGUAAGAUAUAAUAUAAAAUUUUUAAAUAGUGUUAAUAAGUUGUUAUG